GCAUGCCGUAACACAUGCAAGUCGAACGAGGACCUUGCGGGUCUAGUGGCGGCACGGGUGCGGUAACGCGUGGGAACCUGCCUUUGAGGGUUCGGAAUAACAGUGAGGAAAUUACUGCUAAUACCGGAUAAUGUCUUCGGACCAAAGAUUUAUCGCGCUUUAGAUGGGCCCGCGUUGGAUUAGGUAGGUGGUGGGGUAAAGGCCUACCAAGGCGACGAUCCAGUA
RNAcentral lists this ribosomal RNA (225 nucleotides) under uncultured bacterium. RNAcentral describes it as "partial 16S ribosomal RNA". It matches the Rfam family "Bacterial small subunit ribosomal RNA", at positions 49 to 286 of the family's 1533-position model. The record is from RNAcentral.